CAGCAGCCGCGGGAAUACGAAGGGUGCAAGCGUUACCCGGAUUUACUGGGCGUAAAGGGCGUGUAGGCGGCCUGGGGCGUCCCAUGUGAAAGGCCACGGCUCAACCGUGGAGGAGCGUGGGAUACGCUCAGGCUAGAGGGUGGGAGAGGGUGGUGGGAUUCCCGGAGUAGCGGUGAAAUGCGCAGAUACCGGGAGGAACGCCGAUGGCGAAGGCAGCCACCUGGUCCACUUCUGACGCUGAGGCGCGAAAGCGUGGGGAGCAAACCGGAUUAGAUACCCCAGUAGUCCCUGUCUCUUAUAC
RNAcentral lists this ribosomal RNA (301 nucleotides) under uncultured bacterium. RNAcentral describes it as "partial 16S ribosomal RNA". It matches the Rfam family "Bacterial small subunit ribosomal RNA", at positions 509 to 807 of the family's 1533-position model. The record is from RNAcentral.